This 82-nucleotide transfer RNA is filed under the name Bacillota bacterium. RNAcentral's name for it is "tRNA-Leu". It matches the Rfam family "tRNA". From Rfam's summary of the family: Transfer RNA (tRNA) molecules are approximately 80 nucleotides in length. Their secondary structure includes four short double-helical elements and three loops (D, anti-codon, and T loops). Further hydrogen bonds mediate the characteristic L-shaped molecular structure. tRNAs have two regions of fundamental functional importance: the anti-codon, which is responsible for specific mRNA codon recognition, and the 3' end, to which the tRNAs corresponding amino acid is attached (by aminoacyl-tRNA synthetases). tRNAs cope with the degeneracy of the genetic code in two manners: having more than one tRNA (with a specific anti-codon) for a particular amino acid; and 'wobble' base-pairing, i.e. permitting non-standard base-pairing at the 3rd anti-codon position. The record is from RNAcentral. Lineage: Bacteria; Bacillati; Bacillota.
GCGGAUGUGGUGGAAUGGUAGACACGCUUGUUUAAGGGGCAAGUGAGAAAUCGUGUGGGUUCAAGUCCCGCCAUCCGCACCA